This is a long non-coding RNA of Amblyraja radiata (thorny skate), 324 nucleotides long. RefSeq lists it as uncharacterized. NCBI's taxonomy places the organism in Eukaryota, Metazoa, Chordata, Chondrichthyes, Rajiformes, Rajidae. The record is from RefSeq and is a predicted model, not a curated record. The transcript is spliced from 3 exons.
UAACCUGAUGAAUCAAUUGCACAUACUGUUUCAUAUUAGUGGCAAGCUCAUAGAAUAUUAUGAUGACUUUGUUGUACUGCUGAAUAGCGGAACAUCCUGUGGGGGGUUGAAAAGCGCCAUCCUCCAUGACCACCCAGGCUGAAGCAAAAGUAGAACUUCAGAUACUGGGCUUACUUGGCAAAUAUCUGACUGGGCCUUGGAUGAAGCGCUUCUACACUUCAAGCCAGAAUCAGAUCAACCGUGUUGAUGGCAUCAAAGUGGUUAAAGGGGUGAUUGCUACUAUAAAGGAAGCUACAGAAAAUCCAGAGAACUUGAUAUUGGCAA